Urocitellus parryii (Arctic ground squirrel) is the source of this 73-nucleotide non-coding RNA. The record is from the annotation of a RefSeq genome assembly. NCBI's taxonomy places the organism in Eukaryota, Metazoa, Chordata, Mammalia, Rodentia, Sciuridae.
GGGGAUAUAGCUCAGUUGGUARAGUGCUUGCCUCAAAAGCACAAGGCCCUGGGUUCGAUCCCCAGUACCACCA